CAGAUCCAUUCCAGCAGAUGGUCUGUGACCCAGAAGAUGGAGGGGGACAUCUGUCAGGGUUGGAUUAACCUGCUGGGAUAUCCCCAACCGUGCACCAGAGAGGAACCCCUGAGCGGCCCCACUCCUACGUGAGCCAGCCCCUGAGACGCCAUGCUGGCCAGGCACUCCUGUCACCGACCCACCAGCGGGCAGUGUUGGCUGGGGCCCCCCAAUCAAAAGUGAAGUCCCAAGUGGGGGCAGUCGGGAGCUGAGGGAAACCAGGGUGUUCUCAAAGGAUGCCUUGACCAGCAGAUGUGGGCUGGGCACGCUGGUACACUCUAAGCCAUGGCGCAGUCAGGCCUACUCAAUAGGGGACAUUGAGGUUCUGGCCGCCCAGCACCAUGGGUGAGCGAUGUCGAGGCUUGCUAGCACAGCGAGUGACCUUCCUCGUGUCCACGUACCUGGAGCUCGGCCUGCGUGGCCGGGCUGGGUUUGAAGACUGUAGUGGUCCCUCCUGAGCCCCUGCUUCCUCCAAUCCUCCUCGAUGUCCCCAAAAAGGGAAGUAGGAUUCAUGGUUGGGGAUGAGCAGAUAGGGUGGGUGGGCUGGCUUCGGAGUGGCCUGCCACAUUUGCCUUGAGAAGCCAUUCAAAUAGGGAGCUACACAGCGCACUGAUCCUUAUCGCAACUCUGUUGGAAAGGUGGAGCAUGCAGGUGUGUGAUAGGAUCCUAAGACGAUGAACUAUGCUUGGUUAGGGCAAAGCCAGAGGGAGAUUUGUAUUGGUCCUGACAUGCAAAUCAGUAAUCCAAGCUAGGUAAAGGGGCAAAAGAUACUGAUCAAACCAUCUAGUAGCAGGUUUCCUUCAAAGUUUCCCUCAGGAUAGCUGAUGCUCAGAUAACCCAGUUUAUCUAGUAAAGCGAAUGAUUUGAAGACUUCGGUCCAAAAUGAUCUGAACUUAUUCUCAAACUUUAAAUGGCUAAGAAGACUGUCUUGUUGGCAUGGAGCCGGGCAUCGAAUGCCAGUGCCAGUGUGCCACAUUUGGCAGAAAAGGUGUUGGUUAAUAUAGACAGCAGAACGGUGCCAAGAAGUCGGAAUUCGCUAACGAGUGUGUAUAAACUCACCUCUCGCACUAGCACUGACAAUUGAUGGCGCUGGAGCAUCGGGCUGAUACCCAACCAUCGCCCAUGCUUAGAGCUGUAAGGGCUAAGUCACAACCAGCAGGAGGGCCACUGCAGUGCACACGCUAGCCCUGGGUCCAGUGUCCAUGUGGAGUGGCCGAAGGUGCAUAUCUUUAUUGUAGUAGCAAUUAUAGAAGUGGGAAAUUUGAAGGCCAAAGUGGAGGAGGGUACCAUGUUAACAGCUGUUGCACAUGGAUCCGUCAGUCCUAAGAGAUGGGCAAGCACCGAUCAGAUGGGACAGGCGAUGUCUCUGCUGCCCUCAGCCAAUCGAAAGGGAGGCUGGUUCAGAUCCCCGAACCUGGAGUGGAGGAGAGGGCACCUUCACAGCAUCAAGUGUGGUAAUGUAAACUUUCGCUGAGAAGCUGGCUGGGGCCCGAGUAGAGUUAUAUUUCCUUUGUGAAGGGCAGGGCACCCUGGAAUGUGUUUUCCCCAAGCAGGCACCCAAGCCUUGAAAAUGUUGAAGUUCCAGCCGUGUCCAGUGAGCUCUCGUUGGUCCUUGACAUUCUCUGGGAGAUGGUGUAAAUCUUGUGGAGGGCGUACCCAUAUCAGCAGCAGGUCUCCAAGGUGAACAGUGUAGGCAAGGGAAAUCGGCAAGUCAGAUCCAUAACUUCAGGAUAAGGAUUGGCCCUCAGGGCUGGGUUGGUCAGGCUGAUGUGCAAAGUGGUGCUGAGUGUGAGCCGCUGCUGGACGAGGCGUACCCCACGCUGGGGGUGGUGCCAACUCUGAACUCAAGCCGGGCCCUUCCUGUGGAUUGCCUCAGCUAUGGUGAUCACUCUCUCCAAACCCUCCGAGGUUUGGGGCUGACAUUCUGCCUCGGCCGAUGCCUAGCAUCUGACUUAGUACUGGUGUGGACCAGGGGAAUCCAAUGGUUUAUUUGAUUUCCCUUGCACUUGCGCAAUCUCAAUGUCAUCUGGCCUAGUAAGAUUGUUGUCUUUGUCUUUCCUCUGUUCCCCCUCCUUGCCUCAUCGCGCCUUGAAACAAUUGUGUAUAGGUGCGUUAUAAAUGCCAUAUCAUAUCAUAUAAUUUCAAACAAAGCGUUACAAAAGCCCAUGGCAAGUGGUGGUGCAAUAUGAUUUCUGCCCAGUGCUCUGAAUGUCAAAGUGAAGAAAUUCAAUAAAGUGCAUGCAUGAAUGGAUGAACGAGAUACCCACUGUCCCUACCUACUGUGUAGCGAAACCACAGCCAAGGGAACAGUCUUGGGAGAAUCAUUGGGGAAAGAAGAAGACCCUUUUGAGCUUGACCGUAGUCUGCCACUGUAAAGAGACAUGAGAGGUGUAGGAUAAGUGGGAGGCUUUCUGGCCGCCAGUGAAAUGCCACUACUCUUAUAAUUUUUUCACUUACACUUUGAGGCAGGGGGGCAAGCUACAUGGGGCUGUUGCUUCCUGCUCCAAGCACCCAGCUCCAGCCAGGGGGGACCUGCUCCGGGGACAGUUUGCACCUGGAGUUUGACUGGGGCAGUACACCUGCCAAACAAUAACACAGGUGCCCUAAGGCAGGCAAGUUCAGAGAGGGCAGAAAACUUCAGCCAAGCAGAAAGGCAAAAGCUUGCUGGAUGUCAAUUUUCUAAUAUGAAUACAGACCAUGCAAGCAUGGCCUCACAAUCCUUCAUAUUUUGGUGUUUCAAGCAGGAGGUGUCAGGAAUUUGCCACAUGGAUAACUGUCUUGUGGCACCAAAGCAUUUAUAGUGAUAUUGCAUUCUGAUCCUCCCACGUCAGCUCUUCUUAUCAUGGUGAAGCAGAAUUCACCCAGCGUUGGAUUGUUCACCCACUAAUGGGGAACGUGAGCUGGGUCUAGACUGCCGUGUGACAGGUAGUAAUCCUGCUCAGUACAAGCAGAACCACAGGUUUGAACAUUUGGUGUAUGUGCUUGGCUGAGGUGCCAAUGGGGCAAAGCUACCAUCUGUGAGAUUAUGAGCGAACGCCUCUCAGUCAGAAUCCCCCAACAGUAACAGUACGACAACACUGUGUAGCCUCAGUUGGAAUAGGAUAGCCAGCCUCUGGACCAAUAGAGAGGGACACCUCUCUAUUAACCAUAGUGCACACUUGUUUGU
This 3205-nucleotide ribosomal RNA is filed under the name Ambystoma mexicanum (axolotl). RNAcentral's name for it is "eukaryotic LSU rRNA". The stretch from base 545 to 3205 matches the Rfam family "Eukaryotic large subunit ribosomal RNA". Lineage: Eukaryota; Metazoa; Chordata; Amphibia; Caudata; Ambystomatidae. The record is from RNAcentral.